This is a long non-coding RNA of Anguilla anguilla (European eel), 629 nucleotides long. RefSeq lists it as uncharacterized. NCBI's taxonomy places the organism in Eukaryota, Metazoa, Chordata, Actinopteri, Anguilliformes, Anguillidae. The transcript has 4 exons. The record is from RefSeq and is a predicted model, not a curated record.
CUGUGUCAGGCGGCAGGACCUCAUUUGGGGCGAUGAAGGGGCAGAGAGCUAACGUAGGGACCUCAGCGUGACUGUGCCUUGCUCUGAGACACACUGAACUCCUGGGCCAUGGGCUUGAAACCAACAUGCAGAAAACCCACCAAGGCUAACUUAGAAAGAGCACUGGGUCUGACAUAAGAAGAAAUGAUGGAUAACAACAUUGGGCACCGAAACAAUCAGCACCAGAAUACGCUGAGCCUCAAAACCUCAUCAAAUGCAGCAUGCUUAGAACAUUCUACACAUCUGAAGCAGUGGCUCUUGGUGAGGCAGGAAGGCCUCUUUGAGGAAGCCCAGACUAAGCUGUUUGUAGCGCCCAGACCCAGUGUAGGAGCCCACAGGUAGCGUUCCCCAUCAGACACGUAUUUCUACUGAUCAUCAGGAUGCAUAGCAAGGCUUUCGAUUUACGAGAUAUAUCAGAUGGAAUUACUAAGUCAAACUAACUAAAUAAAUAGCAACAUCUGGUGAAUGCCAUACGGCUUAUCUUAAAUCAUUAUCGAACAGAAAUUAUAUAAUUAUUGUACAAGACAUUCAUGGAAAAUUUGCAAUCUGUAUCACUGUCAAUGAAAAAGUGUUAAAGGUGUGUGUAUAUG